GCCGGCGUAGCCCAACGGCAGAGGCGCGAUCUUUAGGUGGUCGACAGUGCGGGUUCGAAUCCCGCCGCCGGCA
Molecule: transfer RNA, 73 nt
Filed under: Pseudonocardia cypriaca
Lineage: Bacteria; Bacillati; Actinomycetota; Actinomycetes; Pseudonocardiales; Pseudonocardiaceae
Description: Pseudonocardia sp. KT2142 tRNA
Rfam family: tRNA
About the family: Transfer RNA (tRNA) molecules are approximately 80 nucleotides in length.
Source: Rfam by way of RNAcentral